This 253-nucleotide ribosomal RNA is filed under the name uncultured bacterium. Its description in RNAcentral is "partial 16S ribosomal RNA". It matches the Rfam family "Bacterial small subunit ribosomal RNA", at positions 524 to 776 of the family's 1533-position model. The record is from RNAcentral.
UACAGAGGGGGCAAGCGUUAUUCGGAUUUAUUGGGUGUAAAGGGCGCGUAGGCAGUUUCUUAAGUCAGAGGUGAAAUACCCGAGCUUAACUUGGGAACUGCAUCUGAGACUGGGAGUCUUGAGUACGGAAGAGGGAGGCGGAAUUCCUGGUGUAGCGGUGAAAUGCGUAGAGAUCUGGAGGAACACCAGGGGCGAAGGCGGUCAUUUGGACCGCUACUGACGCUGAGGCACGAAAGCGUGGGGAGCAAACAGG